ACAGCAUCAAUCAUAUUUUAGAUUCUUAUAUAUAAAAUUGGGCAUACGCCCAGACAGCCUGUGUCUGAAUUGAGGCUGAACAGUCAGGAUUUCCAUCAUUUCUGUUCAGUGGUUUUGUCUGCAUUCUUGGAGUGGAUGCAACCCCUUCCAGACGUUUGGAAACUGGAAGAGCAGACCAUGCAGUGACGGAGGAGCUGGGAGGACAGAGAGAGCCGGUCUGUGCAGGACCUGCAUAGGGAGGUCAGGAGAGGAGCUGCCUUCGUAGUUUUCAGGCCCACGGAUGACAGUAACCAGCCCCCGGGCCGGGGCGUCCUCUCCAUGCAUGGGCUGACCUAUGGAGUCAUUCGUUUGGACUCGGAAGAGAAGCUCUCCGUGCUCACCAUGUAGGAUGUCGGCCUCGUGAUGCCUGGAGGUCGAUACGAGCGACAUACAAAUUGGAGUUGGGCAG
RNAcentral lists this long non-coding RNA (448 nucleotides) under Macaca fascicularis (crab-eating macaque). Its description in RNAcentral is "lncRNA (ENSMFAG00000060914.1)". Lineage: Eukaryota; Metazoa; Chordata; Mammalia; Primates; Cercopithecidae. The record is from RNAcentral.